Molecule: ribosomal RNA, 1216 nt
Filed under: Actinomycetes bacterium
Lineage: Bacteria; Bacillati; Actinomycetota; Actinomycetes
Description: Actinobacteria bacterium partial 23S ribosomal RNA
Rfam family: Bacterial large subunit ribosomal RNA
Source: RNAcentral
GGAAGCGCCGUCGCUCAACGGAUAAAAGGUACCCCGGGGAUAACAGGCUCAUCUUCCCCAAGAGUCCAUAUCGACGGGAAGGUUUGGCACCUCGAUGUCGGCUCAUCGCAUCCUGGGGCGGUAGCACGUCCCAAGGGUUGGGCUGUUCGCCCAUUAAAGCGGUACGCGAGCUGGGUUUAGAACGUCGUGAGACAGUGAACGAACCGCGCUGUCUAUAAAUUCGGCUAUAUGCUGGAAACCCCGAGUAUCCGGCGGUACUCGUUCAUGUCACACCCCCUUCGUAGGGUGAUGGCAUGAGCAGUGAAAAUCCGACCGGUGCGGGCAAUCAGCAGGAAAGACUGGACCCCUACAUCGCGGGCUAUGUCGACGGAGAAGGAUCGUUCCACGUCGCUGUUCAACGGAACCCGACUACCAGGGUUGGCUAUCAACUGGUGCCGGAGUUCCACGUCAGCCAAGCGCCAGAACGCCGGCAGGUCCUCGACCUGAUCAGGCAACGGCUUGGCUGCGGACGGAUACGUGAGAACCACCGCGGCUCAGCGGACACCACAUUGGUGUACGUCGUCCGCAACAGGGAGGACCUGAUGACUCGGGUCAUCCCCUUCUUCGAAGCACAGCCACUCUUGAGCUCAAAGCAAAAGGAGUUCGCCACCUUCGCCGCCAUCGUUCAAGCGAUGGCCCGAGGCGAGCACCGCAGUGCUGAUGGGUUCGAGACACUCAAGCGGAUCGCUCUCUCCAUGAAUGGUGGAGGGCGCUAUCGGCGAGUGCACCGAUGGAAGGAUCCAGAAUCCUCAGAGACCAUAUGCCGAACACCGGCUGAUCCCGGUGAAGAUAUGGUCCGAUCUGCAUGGCGACAUGCAGAGUCAGGCAGAAAUGACCUGGCCCCCGAGAACGGACAAGGGUCCGCUCGGCGGUAACAACAAUGUCGGUCCCUAUCCGUCGCAGCCGUAGGAGAUCUGAGGAAGGCUGUCCCUAGUACGAGAGGACCGGGACGGACGCAGCUCUCGUGUGCCAGUUGUCCUGCCAAGGGCACGGCUGGUUAGCGACCUGCGGAAGAGAUAAGUGCUGAAAGCAUCUAAGUACGAAGCUUGUUCCAAGAUGAGAUCUCCCACAGGGUCAACCUGGUAAGGCCCGUGGCCAGAUGACCACGUUGAUAGGCCGGAGGUGUACGCACAGCAAUGUGUUCAGCCGACCGGUACUAAUCGGCCGAGGGCUUGGG